UGCUGCCCAAAGUGAACACUGGGGAGCUGAAUCUGCGUUCUCUGGGGACAAAAGUUUUGAUGAAUCUGGUUGGGGUACAUUUGAUACAGACCUUGAUGCAGAUGCUGCAUGGAAUAUCAAUUCUGCUGCUAAGGAAUCUCGUGAUGAGAAGCACAAGGAAACUUCUCUAUUUGACGAUGACGACUGGGGCCUGAGGCCCAUAAAAACGGGAUCUGCAAAUUCCAGCAACUCGCUCCCUAAGCAAGCCCCAUUUUUUGAUUCUGUUCCUAGCACCCCUAGUAAUAAUACUGGGUUUAGUUACUCCGAGAACCAGUUCCCAAAGCAAAGCCCAUUCUUUGAUUCUG
RNAcentral lists this unclassified non-coding RNA (344 nucleotides) under Hevea brasiliensis (rubber tree). The record is from RNAcentral. Lineage: Eukaryota; Viridiplantae; Streptophyta; Magnoliopsida; Malpighiales; Euphorbiaceae.